RNAcentral lists this ribosomal RNA (2861 nucleotides) under Pseudomonas aeruginosa. Its description in RNAcentral is "23S ribosomal RNA". It matches the Rfam family "Bacterial large subunit ribosomal RNA". The record is from RNAcentral. Lineage: Bacteria; Pseudomonadati; Pseudomonadota; Gammaproteobacteria; Pseudomonadales; Pseudomonadaceae.
GGUUAAGUGAAUAAGGGCGCACGGUGGAUGCCUUGGCACUAGGAGCCGAUGAAGGACGGGACUAACACCGAUAUGCUUUGGGGAGCUGUAAGUAAGCUAUGAUCCAGAGAUUUCCGAAUGGGGGAACCCAAUAUCUUUUAUAGGAUAUUACUUUUCAGUGAAUACAUAGCUGAUUAGAGGUAGACGCAGAGAACUGAAACAUCUUAGUACCUGCAGGAAGAGAAAGAAAAUUCGAUUCCCUGAGUAGCGGCGAGCGAAACGGGAAGAGCCCAAACCAACAAGCUUGCUUGUUGGGGUUGUAGGACUCCAAUAUGGUAGUCUGUUAGUAUAGUUGAAGGAUUUGGAAAAUUCCGCUAAAGAGGGUGAAAGCCCCGUAGACGAAAUGCUGACAACACCUAGGAGGAUCCUGAGUACGGCGGAACACGAGAAAUUCCGUCGGAAUCCGCGGGGACCAUCCCGCAAGGCUAAAUACUCCCUAGUGACCGAUAGUGAACCAGUACCGUGAGGGAAAGGUGAAAAGCACCCCGGAAGGGGAGUGAAAUAGAUCCUGAAACCGUGUGCCUACAACAAGUCAAAGCUCGUUAAUGAGUGAUGGCGUGCCUUUUGUAGAAUGAACCGGCGAGUUACGAUUGCAUGCGAGGUUAAGUCGAAGAGACGGAGCCGCAGCGAAAGCGAGUCUGAAUAGGGCGAAUGAGUAUGUAGUCGUAGACCCGAAACCAUGUGAUCUACCCAUGUCCAGGUUGAAGGUGCGGUAAAACGCACUGGAGGACCGAACCCACGUACGUUGAAAAGUGCGGGGAUGAGGUGUGGGUAGCGGAGAAAUUCCAAACGAACUUGGAGAUAGCUGGUUCUCUCCGAAAUAGCUUUAGGGCUAGCCUCGGAAUUGAGAAUGAUGGAGGUAGAGCACUGUUUGGACUAGGGGCCCAUCUCGGGUUACCGAAUUCAGAUAAACUCCGAAUGCCAUUCAUUUAUAUCCGGGAGUCAGACUGCGAGUGAUAAGAUCCGUAGUCGAAAGGGAAACAGCCCAGACCACCAGCUAAGGUCCCAAAAUAUAUGUUAAGUGGAAAAGGAUGUGGGGUUGCACAGACAACUAGGAUGUUGGCUUAGAAGCAGCCACCAUUUAAAGAGUGCGUAAUAGCUCACUAGUCGAGUGACCCUGCGCCGAAAAUGUACCGGGGCUAAACAUAUUACCGAAGCUGUGGACUACACCAUUAGGUGUAGUGGUAGGAGAGCGUUCUAAGGGCGUUGAAGGUCGAUCGUGAGGACGGCUGGAGCGCUUAGAAGUGAGAAUGCCGGUAUGAGUAGCGAAAGACAGGUGAGAAUCCUGUCCACCGUAUGACUAAGGUUUCCUGGGGAAGGCUCGUCCGCCCAGGGUUAGUCGGGACCUAAGCCGAGGCCGAUAGGCGUAGGCGAUGGACAACAGGUUGAUAUUCCUGUACCAGUUGUUUUUGUUUGAGCAAUGGAGGGACGCAGUAGGCUAAGGAAUGCAUGCGAUUGGAAGUGCAUGUCCAAGCAAUGAGUCUUGAGUAGAGUUAAAUGCUUUACUCUUUAAGGACAAGUUGUGACGGGGAGCGAAAUAAUAGUAGCGAAGUUCCUGAUGUCACACUGCCAAGAAAAGCUUCUAGUGAGAAAACAACUGCCCGUACCGUAAACCGACACAGGUAGUCGAGGAGAGUAUCCUAAGGUGAGCGAGCGAACUCUCGUUAAGGAACUCGGCAAAAUGACCCCGUAACUUCGGGAGAAGGGGUGCUGACUUCGGUCAGCCGCAGUGAAUAGGCCCAAGCGACUGUUUAUCAAAAACACAGGUCUCUGCAAAAUCGUAAGAUGAAGUAUAGGGGCUGACGCCUGCCCGGUGCUGGAAGGUUAAGAGGAUGGGUUAGCUAACGGUCCUAAGGUAGCGAAAUUCCUUGUCGGGUAAGUUCCGACCCGCACGAAAGGCGUAACGAUUUGGGCACUGUCUCAACGAGAGACUCGGUGAAAUCAUAGUACCUGUGAAGAUGCAGGUUACCCGCGACAGGACGGAAAGACCCCGUGGAGCUUUACUGUAGCCUGAUAUUGAAAUUCGGCACAGCUUGUACAGGAUAGGUAGGAGCCUUUGAAACGUGAGCGCUAGCUUACGUGGAGGCGUUGGUGGGAUACUACCCUAGCUGUGUUGGCUUUCUAACCCGCACCACUUAUCGUGGUGGGAGACAGUGUCAGGCGGGCAGUUUGACUGGGGCGGUCGCCUCCUAAAAGGUAACGGAGGCGCUCAAAGGUUCCCUCAGAAUGGUUGGAAAUCAUUCAUAGAGUGUAAAGGCAUAAGGGAGCUUGACUGCGAGACCUACAAGUCGAGCAGGGUCGAAAGACGGACUUAGUGAUCCGGUGGUUCCGCAUGGAAGGGCCAUCGCUCAACGGAUAAAAGCUACCCCGGGGAUAACAGGCUUAUCUCCCCCAAGAGUUCACAUCGACGGGGAGGUUUGGCACCUCGAUGUCGGCUCAUCGCAUCCUGGGGCUGUAGUCGGUCCCAAGGGUUGGGCUGUUCGCCCAUUAAAGCGGUACGCGAGCUGGGUUCAGAACGUCGUGAGACAGUUCGGUCCCUAUCCGUCGUGGGCGUAGGAAAUUUGAGAGGAGCUGUCCUUAGUACGAGAGGACCGGGAUGGACAUACCUCUGGUGUACCAGUUGUCGUGCCAACGGCAUAGCUGGGUAGCUAUGUAUGGACGGGAUAAGUGCUGAAAGCAUCUAAGCAUGAAGCCCCCCUCAAGAUGAGAUUUCCCAACUUCGGUUAUAAGAUCCCUCGAAGAUGACGAGGUUAAUAGGUUCGAGGUGGAAGCGUGGUGACACGUGGAGCUGACGAAUACUAAUCGAUCGAAGACUUAAUCAA